Panthera leo (lion) is the source of this 181-nucleotide small nuclear RNA. Its record names the gene U2. It matches the Rfam family "U2 spliceosomal RNA". Rfam says of the family: U2 is a small nuclear RNA (snRNA) component of the spliceosome (involved in pre-mRNA splicing). Complementary binding between U2 snRNA (in an area lying towards the 5' end but 3' to hairpin I) and the branchpoint sequence (BPS) of the intron results the bulging out of an unpaired adenosine, on the BPS, which initiates a nucleophilic attack at the intronic 5' splice site, thus starting the first of two transesterification reactions that mediate splicing. The record is from Ensembl. NCBI's taxonomy places the organism in Eukaryota, Metazoa, Chordata, Mammalia, Carnivora, Felidae.
AUCACUUCUCGGCCUUUUGGCUAAGAUCAAGUGUAGUAUCUGUUCUUAUCAGUUUAAAACGCAGGUUCUGAGACCCUGUGGCCCCAGAUGACCUAAAAGACCCUGGUCUCCACUUUUGUAUUUCCAGAGUUUCUUAUAAUUUAAAAGGACCUGUUGUUGCUGUGGAAACAGCAGUUCACUU